UACGUAGGGUGCAAGCGUUGUCCGGAAUUAUUGGGCGUAAAGAGCUCGUAGGCGGUUUGUUGCGUCGGCUGUGAAAUCCCGAGGCUCAACCUCGGGUCUGCAGUCGAUACGAGCAAACUAGAGUGUUGCAGGGGAGACUGGAAUUCCUGGUGUAGCGGUGAAAUGCGCAGAUAUCAGGAGGAACACCGGUGGCGAAGGCGGUGAUCUGGGCCGAUACUGACGCUGAGGAGCGAAAGCGUGGGGAGCGAACAGG
This 253-nucleotide ribosomal RNA is filed under the name uncultured bacterium. RNAcentral's name for it is "partial 16S ribosomal RNA". It matches the Rfam family "Bacterial small subunit ribosomal RNA", at positions 524 to 776 of the family's 1533-position model. The record is from RNAcentral.